Molecule: ribosomal RNA, 543 nt
Filed under: uncultured bacterium
Lineage: Bacteria
Description: partial 16S ribosomal RNA
Rfam family: Bacterial small subunit ribosomal RNA
Source: RNAcentral
UGGGGAAUUUUGGACAAUGGGCGCAAGCCUGAUCCAGCCAUGCCGCGUGCGGGAAGAAGGCCUUCGGGUUGUAAACCGCUUUUGUCAGGGAAGAAAUCUUCUGAGUUAAUACCUCGGGAGGAUGACGGUACCUGAAGAAUAAGCACCGGCUAACUACGUGCCAGCAGCCGCGGUAAUACGUAGGGUGCAAGCGUUAAUCGGAAUUACUGGGCGUAAAGCGUGCGCAGGCGGUUUUGUAAGACAGAGGUGAAAUCCCCGGGCUCAACCUGGGAACUGCCCUUGUGACUGCAAGGCUUGAGUGCGGCAGAGGGGGAUGGAAUUCCGCGUGUAGCAGUGAAAUGCGUAGAUAUGCGGAGGAACACCGAUGGCGAAGGCAAUCCCCUGGGCCUGCACUGACGCUCAUGCACGAAAGCGUGGGGAGCAAACAGGAUUAGAUAGCCCUGGUAGUCCACGCCCUAAAACGAUGUCAACUGGUUGUUGGGAAGGUUCCUUCUCAGUAACGUAGCUAACGCGUGAAGUUGACCGCCUGGGGAGUACGGCCGC